CAGGUGAUAACUUUAGGGUUCCAAAGGGAGGUGUUUCAGGAUUUGAGGGUUGGGGUGAUAAGUUUAGGGUUCCAUACCGGGUGUUCCAGUGCUGUGGGAGGCUCAGGGGAUAGGUUUAGGGUUCCAGACUGGGUGUUUCAGGGUUGGGGGAUAACUUUAGGGUUCCAAAGGGAGGGGUUUCAGUGUUUCAGGGUUCAGGUGAUAACUUUAGGGUUCCAGACCGGGUGUUUCAGUGUUGGGGGAGGCUCAGGGGACAGGUUUAGGGUUCCAUACCGGGUGUUUCAGGGUUCAGGUGACAGGUUUAGGGUUCCAUACCGGGUGUUUCAGUGCUGUGGGAGGCUCAGGGGAUAGGUUUAGGGUUCCAGACCGGGUGUUUCAGUGCUGUGGGAGGCUCAGGGGAUAAGUUUUGGGCUCCAAACCAGGUGUUUCAGGGUUCAGGUGAUAGGUUUAGGGUUCCAUAUCGGGUGUUUCAAUGCUGUGGGAGGCUCAGGGGACA
Poecile atricapillus (Black-capped chickadee) is the source of this 496-nucleotide long non-coding RNA. RefSeq lists it as uncharacterized. NCBI's taxonomy places the organism in Eukaryota, Metazoa, Chordata, Aves, Passeriformes, Paridae. The transcript is spliced from 3 exons. The record is from RefSeq and is a predicted model, not a curated record.